GACGUAGGGCGCGAGCGUUGUCCGGAUUUAUUGGGCGUAAAGAGCUCGUAGGCGGCUUGUCGCGUCGACUGUGGAAAUCCCGCGGCUCAACCGCGGGUCUGCAGUCGAUACGGGCAGGCUAGAGUUCGGUAGGGGAGACUGGAAUUCCUGGUGUAGCGGUGAAAUGCGCAGAUAUCAGGAAGAACACCGAUGGCGAAGGCAGGUCUCUGGGCCGAUACUGACGCUGAGGAGCGAAAGCGUGGGGAGCGAACGGG
Molecule: ribosomal RNA, 254 nt
Filed under: uncultured bacterium
Lineage: Bacteria
Description: partial 16S ribosomal RNA
Rfam family: Bacterial small subunit ribosomal RNA
Source: RNAcentral